Molecule: ribosomal RNA, 771 nt
Filed under: Escherichia coli
Lineage: Bacteria; Pseudomonadati; Pseudomonadota; Gammaproteobacteria; Enterobacterales; Enterobacteriaceae
Description: partial 23S ribosomal RNA
Rfam family: Bacterial large subunit ribosomal RNA
Source: RNAcentral
GGAAAGGCGCGCGAUACAGGGUGACAGCCCCGUACACAAAAAUGCACAUGCUGUGAGCUCGAUGAGUAGGGCGGGACACGUGGUAUCCUGUCUGAAUAUGGGGGGACCAUCCUCCAAGGCUAAAUACUCCUGACUGACCGAUAGUGAACCAGUACCGUGAGGGAAAGGCGAAAAGAACCCCGGCGAGGGGAGUGAAAAAGAACCUGAAACCGUGUACGUACAAGCAGUGGGAGCACGCUUAGGCGUGUGACUGCGUACCUUUUGUAUAAUGGGUCAGCGACUUAUAUUCUGUAGCAAGGUUAACCGAAUAGGGGAGCCGAAGGGAAACCGAGUCUUAACUGGGCGUUAAGUUGCAGGGUAUAGACCCGAAACCCGGUGAUCUAGCCAUGGGCAGGUUGAAGGUUGGGUAACACUAACUGGAGGACCGAACCGACUAAUGUUGAAAAAUUAGCGGAUGACUUGUGGCUGGGGGUGAAAGGCCAAUCAAACCGGGAGAUAGCUGGUUCUCCCCGAAAGCUAUUUAGGUAGCGCCUCGUGAAUUCAUCUCCGGGGGUAGAGCACUGUUUCGGCAAGGGGGUCAUCCCGACUUACCAACCCGAUGCAAACUGCGAAUACCGGAGAAUGUUAUCACGGGAGACACACGGCGGGUGCUAACGUCCGUCGUGAAGAGGGAAACAACCCAGACCGCCAGCUAAGGUCCCAAAGUCAUGGUUAAGUGGGAAACGAUGUGGGAAGGCCCAGACAGCCAGGAUGUUGGCUUAGAAGCAGCCA